Non-coding RNA from Schistosoma haematobium, 47 nucleotides. NCBI's taxonomy places the organism in Eukaryota, Metazoa, Platyhelminthes, Trematoda, Strigeidida, Schistosomatidae. The record is from Rfam.
AUCCAGUUGACGAGUCCCAAAAAUAGGACGAAACAUACGUCCUGUAU